Molecule: RNA transcript, 3837 nt
Organism: Vitis riparia (riverbank grape)
Lineage: Eukaryota; Viridiplantae; Streptophyta; Magnoliopsida; Vitales; Vitaceae
Exons: 4
Source: RefSeq, a predicted model, not a curated record
CCCUAGAGAGAGAAAGGGCGAGAUUUCUAGAGAGAGAAACACAGACUUCUAGAGAGAGAAGCGCAAACCCUAAUCCUAGCCCUAACAGCACCGACAUCGAGAGCAAUUCGGACUCGGAUCCGCAUGAAAUACACCCUAACCCUAGAAAAUUCAUGGAUAAAUUCCCCUUCCAAAUCUGAAUGGAAACCCUAACCCUAAACCUAGCCGGAUCGCCCCAGCAUGGCUUCUUUGGGAUCCUCUGGUUUUCCAUCUUCUUCGCCGGAGGCUGAGCCGCUUGGUUGAUUAGCAUUGUUUUUGUGUUGAUUAGGUAGAGUUUUGUGCUAUUGUAGAGAGGGAAAAUUGGUUUUUUAGAGAGACGGAGCGUGCUCUUUUUACACAGAGAAAGUUGGGUGUAGAGAGAGGGAGAUGGGGAGUUCGGGAUCGGGUGUGGUCGAUUCCAGCGUGGGGACAAUCGUGUGGGUGCGGAGGAGGAACGGGUCGUGGUGGCCCGGGAAAAUACUUGGACCCGAUGAGCUCUCGGCUUCUCAUCUCAUGUCACCGCGAUCCGGCACUCCGGUCAAGCUUCUCGGAAGAGAGGAUGCUAGUGUGGAUUGGUAUAAUUUGGAGAAAUCUAAGCGUGUAAAGGCAUUUCGAUGUGGUGAAUUUGAUGAUUGUAUCGAAAGGGCCGAAUCCUCACAGGGCAUCCCGAUAAAGAAAAGAGAGAAAUAUGCACGUCGAGAAGAUGCUAUUCUUCACGCUCUUGAACUUGAGAAGCAACAGCUGGCAAAGAAACAGGGGAAAUUAGGUAUUGCUUCUGAUUGUACAAGUAGUAAAUCAUGUAAUGCUGUAAAAAAAGAGUUAGUUACAUCUUCAGAAAGUUUGGGUAAUGAAAAUGGAAAACUUGGAAUCACCAAAUCACAACAACUUUCUAAGAGACUAGAUUCAACUAAUAAGGAUGAUAUAAUGGGAAAUCCUUUGUAUUCACAAAAAGCCAAAGAGGGAAGUCAAAUCAACUGGGAAGAUGAUACAUUGGAUGUUAUACCUCGGAUGAGAGGCUUGCAAGACUUUGGACUCAGGACUGCCCCUUCAAAGAGAAAGCUUUCUUCUGCUGUUUCAAAUGGUUCUCGAAAACAGGCAGUUGAUAAUGCUCAAGCUAUUCCUAGUAGCAGUGUUGGCAUGGGAAGUAUAACUCAUGCAAGCAGUAAAAGUUCUAUAGACAAAAGGAAAAGGUUAUAUGAGGGAUUGACAGAGGAAUCACUUGUCAAGAGGCGUGAUAGGCGCCGUCCUCUUGUUCAAGUGUUGCAGAAUACCGAAAAAUUACCAGUCCCUCACCUGUUGCAAACUGAAAGUGGCACUGUUUCCUCUAUUGCAGAAGCGGAGCAGAUGGGAAGUGUUUUCCGGGCAAAGAGGAGCAGAUGUGUGUACUUGCCAUCUGAGUCUGAUGAUCGUUUGGAAUAUAAAGAAAUUCCUCCAAGUGAGAUGGAGAUGUCACCUUCCCAGUUUGGAGACAGUAAUAAUCAUCCUCAUCCUAGUUCUUUGACUGAAGAGAACACUUCUGAAUUUAUGGAAGGUUCUGAAUCAGAUUCUUCUGAGACUGAAGCAGAUACUGAUGCAGAGAUGACCGAACUUGCAGAGACUGUUGCACCAGCAGAAGCAGAAGCUGAAGCAAAAGCUCUUGGAAAACCUGUAGUGCCAGGGGAAGAUGGAAGCAUGAGCAGUGAGGAGCCUGAUGAGUCUGCACUUACUGGUGACUUGUCUCACCUGCACCCUCAUGACCCUGUUUCUGCUAGUGUGGGGGUUUCCAAAUGGCAACUGAAAGGGAAAAGGAACAUGCGCAAUCUCACUAAAAGAUCUGCAGAAGUUGUUGAUGGAAAAGUUUCAAAUGGAUCCAUUCAUAAACCAUAUCUAGAGGAAAAUGGAAACACGAUGGGCCAAAGGACUUUGGGGCAGAGUAUGAUGUUCCAUCAUAGCAGCAAUGAUUUUGACAAUGAUCUUCAUGAGGCUGAUUUAAUUGAGAAGGAUUUUGGGACCCAAAUGGCUGGAUUGGAUAGCAGGGGAUACUCAUUAACAUCAAAAACUGCACCUAGAGCUCGAAAUAUGAUUGAUUGGGAGGAAUUGACUUGGGAAGAUCAGCCUGCUUUGAAAGGAUACUGGGAGGACACAGGUGAGUGCUUUGAUCCCAUAUUUGUUGGCCGUCAUAACCCUGCUGGUAGGAUAAAAACCACACUGGUGGAUGUGGAUUUGAGGGUUCAAACAAAUUAUCAACGAGAGCAUGUCCCUAUUAUUUCGCUGAUGAGUCGGUUAAAUGAUAAGUCAAUAGUAGGGCAUCCAAUCCAAAUCGAAGCACUGGAAGAUGGUUCAUCUGAAAUGCUUCUUUCUUCAAAUGAGGAUUUCGGCAAUGAUGUGUUCGAUAAUGACAGAAAUAGAGCAAUUCCACCAGUUUGGAGAACUGCCCGAAGGACAGCCAAUUUCCGUGUUCCCCGCCCUCAUCCAUCAUCAGCACUGGAUGGUGACGAAGCUGUGGAAGAUCUCCCUUUUUUGGAUCAAGGAAGAAAGUCAACAUAUAAGAAAUCAAAUGCAGGGAAUUCUGGUCACAAAGGAAGCAUUAUGAGGAAAAGCCUCCCUCACAUUCCCCGGCCUCCAACAGACCGAAAGUUCCCUAGAAAGAUGCCAAAGAUGGUAAGUUUAUCUUCUAGCCAAAAAACAAGGACUCUGUCUUCAAUUGCCAUUGAACAGAAACAUGGUAACAGGCCAAAACAUGACAGCCACAGUUAUAAAAUGGAUGGGUUGAUCAAACAGGAGUCGUCUGGGCCCACUGCAGUUGCUUGCAUACCUAUCAAACUAGUAUUUAGUAGGUUAAAUGAGUCAGUUUGUAGACCGCCAUCAAGAGCAACUAGUAAUGUGGUUUCGGUGAAUGGUGAUCCGGAGAAAAAUCCAUCAUAGACUAGUAAACUACAUGUAAAGUGUUAUAUGGGAUCAAUAAUGUUAUACAGCCAAUGCAUCAAUUGUUGCUAUUUUUUUCCCAACUAAAGCAUGCCCACCCCAGCCCUUAUAAUCGAGCCAGCAUCUUGAGGGUGAAGAUUUCUGUCUGCCUUGAAUAAUCUGAUGAUAAGCAGGUAACAAGAGAAACCAUUUGUGCAGCGAACUUGGGUCAAGACGAAGCUCUUUAGGAUUCGCCAAGUCACUGACCCAAUAACGCUGCAGUUAGUGGGUUUCUGAGGAACGUGGAGCAGAUGAAGAUAGUAAGUUGUUCAUUAGCCAGAUUACAUCGAUGGAAAAGUAGGUACCUUGAAAUUCACAUCGAUGGUUGUACAUUCAGUUUCAUUUUCGUAUAAGCUUUAUGUAUUUUCAAGCUGUUUCCUCUCUUUUCUAAUUUAAAUAUAUAGAGGAACCUGGGUUAGUAGGGAUCGCUAUAGAGAUGCUAUUUUGGGGUGUUUUCAAUAAUCAUCAGAUGAACCUGGAGCUGAAACAUCGCCUGCUGCUUGACUAUUUUACUCAUGUUAAGUAGGUACUCCGAAUCUUUACCUUGUAAUGUUCUCGGUAACCCAAAUGUGAAGCAAAAUACUAGUCUUAAGAACAUUUAUGCAACAGGUUGAGAGGAUGGGAAAUAUAGGUCUUUGAACAUGAAAGAAAUGAGAACCAAAAUGACAGUGUCGGUUUGGGCAUGAAGGGGAUGGCUGUGUGACCUUAAUGUCUGACCUGGUCCCUGCCUCCAGGUUGAACCAUUUGGAUUUUGACCCCAGUUACCCAAUGGCAUUUGGUCUCAUCUGCCCUUGCUGGUUAGUGAGGUGAAGAGUGCACAAGAGCUGUCAUGGUGUUUUUUUUCGUUUUGUAUGUAUGUCAUGGUGUUCUGUUUGG